This is a long non-coding RNA of Pogona vitticeps (central bearded dragon), 1119 nucleotides long. RefSeq lists it as uncharacterized. The record is from RefSeq and is a predicted model, not a curated record. Lineage: Eukaryota; Metazoa; Chordata; Lepidosauria; Squamata; Agamidae.
AUACCAGAUAAGGAGAGGAAGGAGGCCUGGGAAAAAGCCAAGAAAUGCUCCGUCCUUGUUUAUUUCCAUCCUCCUCGUUGCUUUCCCAAAUACUGUAAUACCAUCCCUUUCCUGCCCCUCCCGUGAUCGGUAAACAUCAGGACCGGGGACGUCUUGAUCUCCGCGGUUCUCACGGAACUUUUUGCACGGCUUCCAGAUUCCCCUGCUGUUCCAAGACCGCCAAACCUACCGGGUUUCCCAAAAUGUGAUGAACAGAACAGAUCCCGCUGGCUUGACUUUUUAAAAAAGUCUGCCGGCCUGCCUGCCAGUGCGGUGGGAGGGCGACAUGCUGGGAUAGCCCCAGUCUUUUUCUUUGUUUUCCACAGUCUCCACCAGAAGGGUGACCUUCGGAUUCCCGGAAUCCUUCCCCACUCCCUAGAAUUUACUGGGCCAACUCUGGAAGUGGCUUGGACAAAAUAAUAAGACUAUUUUGUGGUGUUUACAUGGAAAUCCUUUCUCUCUAGUCCGUCCCGAAGAUUGUUCCUGAGUUUGAGGACUGAUUCCUGUUACAAAACCCCUGAAGUCCCAAAUUCAAAGCCAGGUUCUUUCAGAAAUCAUAAAAUGUCGUAUACUGAUUAAUGAAUGAUUGUGUGAAGUUGUAUCAUCUUGGAAUAGUUUUACUUCUAAUGCUGUCUUAGGAAGACUGCAGACUGAAAGGUAGCUAUGAAAUGGAUUAUUAAGUAAAUAAACCCACCUUCUAUUGUUACCUAAGGCCUACUGUUCCACUCCCACAGCUAGAGCCAGUUGUACCAUUAGGAAGCCUCCACCAGGUACUGGGAGGAGCAACUGCUACCGCCUAUCAGCCAUUCCUCUUGAGCCCCCUAUUCCUCUGACUUUUUAGGUCUACGUAUUCGGGUAUCCAACUAUGAUCACACUAAAAAGAUCUGAACUGCAGCUAUCAAUCUAUGGUACAAGUACUGUACCCAGCAGGCGACUAAUACUAUCUGCAUAGGAUGGAAGAAUAGGAAAAUAAUGUACUCCAACUCUCUGCUCAUUGUAGUAUAGCCAGAAUCCUUUUGGCAGCUUCCGGGUGAGAGAGCUGCACAAGACAUUUCCCCUGUGCUCAGACCACUUUAAAGG